AAGUCGUAACAAGGUUUCCGUAGGUGAACCUGCGGAAGGAUCAUUAACACGUAUCCAACGUUAAAACAACCCCCGUGAACUUUCCUGGUAAAUCAUUGUUGACCAGCUUUUGAGUCAGGGACCUCUGCCGAUUGUGAUAUUUUAUAGCUACGGUUGAGCGAUUGCAUCUAGUGACCUGGCAUCCCCAAGUAAUCAGUGUCUGAAAGUGUCAUUGAUUAUGUAAGGAUGGCGCAGUCACGAUCGCUGUAGGCCCACACGGCCGGCGACCGGGUCACCGGGCUCUGCCCCUUUACGACAACACAGUACGAAUUGGCCGCGCGUGAAAUUCGCACGGCACCAAAAACCGAACAACUGUUAACAAUGGAUAUCUUGGUUCUC
RNAcentral lists this unclassified non-coding RNA (378 nucleotides) under fungal sp. RNAcentral describes it as "partial internal transcribed spacer region". The stretch from base 1 to 46 matches the Rfam family "Eukaryotic small subunit ribosomal RNA", at positions 1786 to 1831 of the family's 1831-position model. Lineage: Eukaryota; Fungi. The record is from RNAcentral.